RNAcentral lists this transfer RNA (97 nucleotides) under Micromonospora sagamiensis. RNAcentral describes it as "tRNA-Asn". Lineage: Bacteria; Bacillati; Actinomycetota; Actinomycetes; Micromonosporales; Micromonosporaceae. The record is from RNAcentral.
CUCGUCGCGGUCGGCACGUUCAGCGAGGCGUCCAUGUUCUGGACGAUGCGCGCGGCCACGCCGCGCAGCGGGGUGGUGCGGGGGCCGCCCGACGACG